RNAcentral lists this ribosomal RNA (253 nucleotides) under uncultured bacterium. RNAcentral describes it as "partial 16S ribosomal RNA". It matches the Rfam family "Bacterial small subunit ribosomal RNA", at positions 524 to 776 of the family's 1533-position model. The record is from RNAcentral.
UACGUAGGGUGCAAGCGUUGUCCGGAAUUAUUGGGCGUAAAGGGCUCGUAGGCGGUCCAUUGCGUCGGGAGUGAAAAGCUGGGGCUCAACCCCAGUCCUGCUUCCGAUACGGGUGGACUAGAGGUAUGCAGGGGAGAACGGAAUUCCUGGUGUAGCGGUGAAAUGCGCAGAUAUCAGGAGGAACACCGGUGGCGAAGGCGGUUCUCUGGGCAUUACCUGACGCUGAGGAGCGAAAGCGUGGGGAGCAAACAGG